UACGUAGGGGGCUAGCGUUGUCCGGAAUCAUUGGGCGUAAAGAGCGUGUAGGCGGUCCGGUAAGUCCGCUGUGAAAGUCGGGGGCUCAACCCUCGAAUGCCGGUGGAUACUGUCGGGCUAGAGUACGGAAGAGGCGAGUGGAAUUCCUGGUGUAGCGGUGAAAUGCGCAGAUAUCAGGAGGAACACCUAUUGCGAAGGCAGCUCGCUGGGACGUAACUGACGCUGAGACGCGAAAGCGUGGGGGGCAAACAGG
Molecule: ribosomal RNA, 253 nt
Filed under: uncultured bacterium
Lineage: Bacteria
Description: partial 16S ribosomal RNA
Rfam family: Bacterial small subunit ribosomal RNA
Source: RNAcentral